GACAGAGGGUGCAAACGUUGUUCGGAAUUACUGGGCGUAAAGCGCGUGUAGGCGGCAGCGCAAGUCGGAUGUGAAAUCCCAUGGCUCAACCAUGGAAGUGCACCCGAAACUGCGUCGCUAGAGUCCUGGAGAGGAAGGUGGAAUGCUUGGUGUAGAGGUGAAAUUCGUAGAUAUCAAGCGGAACACCGGUGGCGAAGGCGGCAUCCUGGACCAACACUGACGCUGAGGAGCGAAAGCCAGGGGAGCAAACGGG
This 253-nucleotide ribosomal RNA is filed under the name uncultured bacterium. RNAcentral's name for it is "partial 16S ribosomal RNA". It matches the Rfam family "Bacterial small subunit ribosomal RNA", at positions 524 to 776 of the family's 1533-position model. The record is from RNAcentral.